This 377-nucleotide ribosomal RNA is filed under the name uncultured organism. RNAcentral's name for it is "partial 16S ribosomal RNA". It matches the Rfam family "Bacterial small subunit ribosomal RNA", at positions 527 to 896 of the family's 1533-position model. The record is from RNAcentral.
GUAGGGUCCGAGCGUUAUCCGGAAUCAUUGGGCGUAAAGAGCUCGUAGGCGGUUCAGCAAGUCGGCUGUGAAAGUUCGAGGCUCAACCUCGAAAUUGCAGUCGAUACUGCUGUGACUUGAGUCCGGUAGAGGAGAAUGGAAUUCCCGGUGUAGCGGUGAAAUGCGCAGAUAUCGGGAGGAACACCAGUAGCGAAGGCGGUUCUCUGGGCCGGCACUGACGCUGAGGAGCGAAAGCGUGGGGGGAGCAAACAGGAUUAGAUACCCUGGUAGUCCACGCCCGUAAACGUUGGAUACUAGGUGUGGCGUCCCGAUUAACGGUCGCCGUGCCGAAGCUAACGCAUUAAGUAUCCCCGCCUGGGAGUACGGCCGCAAGGCUA